Molecule: ribosomal RNA, 233 nt
Filed under: Brevundimonas sp. ISO149_OTU697
Lineage: Bacteria; Pseudomonadati; Pseudomonadota; Alphaproteobacteria; Caulobacterales; Caulobacteraceae
Description: partial 16S ribosomal RNA
Rfam family: Bacterial small subunit ribosomal RNA
Source: RNAcentral
GCGAACGCUGGCGGCAGGCCUAACACAUGCAAGUCGAACGGACCCUUCGGGGUUAGUGGCGGACGGGUGAGUAACACGUGGGAACGUGCCUUUAGGUUCGGAAUAGCUCCUGGAAACGGGUGGUAAUGCCGAAUGUGCCCUUCGGGGGAAAGAUUUAUCGCCUUUAGAGCGGCCCGCGUCUGAUUAGCUAGUUGGUUGGGGUAAUGGCCCACCAAGGCUACGAUCAGUAGCUG